RNAcentral lists this ribosomal RNA (504 nucleotides) under Bdellovibrio bacteriovorus. RNAcentral describes it as "bacterial SSU rRNA". It matches the Rfam family "Bacterial small subunit ribosomal RNA", at positions 212 to 720 of the family's 1533-position model. Lineage: Bacteria; Pseudomonadati; Bdellovibrionota; Bdellovibrionia; Bdellovibrionales; Pseudobdellovibrionaceae. The record is from RNAcentral. RNAcentral also lists the same sequence under 1 other name.
UUUUCGCUCUAAGAUGAGUCCGCGUAAGAUUAGCUCGUUGAACCGUGAGGUAGUGGCUCACCAAGGCGACGAUCUUUAACUGGUCUGAGAGGAUGAUCAGUCACACUGGAACUGAGACACGGUCCAGACUCCUACGGGAGGCAGCAGUAGGGAAUAUUGCACAAUGGAGGAAACUCUGAUGCAGCGACGCCGCGUGAGUGAUGAAGGCCUUCGGGUCGUAAAGCUCUGUCGCAGGGGAAUAACACAAUGAAUGUACCCUGUAAGAAAGGAUCGGCUAACUUCGUGCCAGCAGCCGCGGUAAGACGAGGGAUCCUAGCGUUGUUCGGAAUUAUUGGGCGUAAAGCGGAUGUAGGUGGCUUUGUAAGUCAGAUGUGAAAGCCCAGGGCUCAACCCUGGAAGUGCAUUUGAUACUGCGAAGCUUGAGUGUCGGAGAGGUUACUAGAAUUGUUGGUGUAUUGGAUUCCCGACAAUACGUAGAUAUCAACAGGAAUACCGGAGGCGAAA